This 253-nucleotide ribosomal RNA is filed under the name uncultured bacterium. RNAcentral's name for it is "partial 16S ribosomal RNA". It matches the Rfam family "Bacterial small subunit ribosomal RNA", at positions 524 to 776 of the family's 1533-position model. The record is from RNAcentral.
UACAGAGGUCUCAAGCGUUGUUCGGAUUCAUUGGGCGUAAAGGGUGUGUAGGUGGCGCGCUAAGUCGGGUGUGAAAUUUCGGAGCUUAACUCCGAAACUGCAUUCGAUACUGGCGUGCUUGAGGACUGGAGAGGAGACUGGAAUUCAUGGUGUAGCAGUGAAAUGCGUAGAGAUCAUGAGGAAGACCAGUGGCGAGGGCGGGUCUCUGGACAGUUCCUGACACUGAGACACGAAGGCUAGGGGAGCAAACGGG